CGGGCGAGGUUACUUCGGUAACUGAGCUAGCGGCGGACGGGUGAGUAAUGCUUAGGAAUCUGCCUAUUAGUGGGGGACAACAUUCCGAAAGGAAUGCUAAUACCGCAUACGCCCUACGGGGGAAAGCAGGGGAUCUUCGGACCUUGCGCUAAUAGAUGAGCCUAAGUCAGAUUAGCUAGUUGGUGGGGUAAAGGCCUACCAAGGCGACGAUCUGUAGCGGGUCUGAGAGGAUGAUCCGCCACACUGGGACUGAGACACGGCCCAGACUCCUACGGGAGGCAGCAGUGGGGAAUAUUGGACAAUGGGCGCAAGCCUGAUCCAGCCAUGCCGCGUGUGUGAAGAAGGCCUUUUGGUUGUAAAGCACUUUAAGCGAGGAGGAGGCUACUUGGAUUAAUACUCUAGGAUAGUGGACGUUACUCGCAGAAUAAGCACCGGCUAACUCUGUGCCAGCAGCCGCGGUAAUACAGAGGGUGCGAGCGUUAAUCGGAUUUACUGGGCGUAAAGCGUGCGUAGGCGGCUUCUUAAGUCGGAUGUGAAAUCCCUGAGCUUAACUUAGGAAUUGCAUUCGAUACUGGGAAGCUAGAGUAUGGGAGAGGAUGGUAGAAUUCCAGGUGUAGCGGUGAAAUGCGUAGAGAUCUGGAGGAAUACCGAUGGCGAAGGCAGCCAUCUGGCCUAAUACUGACGCUGAGGUACGAAAGCAUGGGGAGCAAACAGGAUUAGAUACCCUG
This 728-nucleotide ribosomal RNA is filed under the name uncultured bacterium. RNAcentral's name for it is "bacterial SSU rRNA". It matches the Rfam family "Bacterial small subunit ribosomal RNA", at positions 67 to 789 of the family's 1533-position model. The record is from RNAcentral.